AACGAACGCUGGCGGCAUGCCUAACACAUGCAAGUCGAACGAGACCUUCGGGUCUAGUGGCGCACGGGUGCGUAACGCGUGGGAACCUGCCUUUAGGUUCGGAAUAACUCAGAGAAAUUUGAGCUAAUACCGGAUGAUGUCUUCGGACCAAAGAUUUAUCGCCUUUAGAUGGGCCCGCGUUGGAUUAGCUAGUUGGUGGGGUAAAGGCCUACCAAGGCGACGAUCCAUAGCUGGUCUGAGAGGAUGAUCAGCCACACUGGGACUGAGACACGGCCCAGACUCCGAGGGGAGGAAGAGGUGGGAAAUAUGGAAAAAGGGGAAAAAGCCUGACAAAGAAAGGCGGGGGGAGUGAGAAAGGCCUAGGGGUUGAAAAGCUUUUUAACCAGAGAGAAAAAGGAAAGUAGGGGGAAAAUAAGCUCGGGCAAACUCCGGG
Molecule: ribosomal RNA, 433 nt
Filed under: uncultured bacterium
Lineage: Bacteria
Description: partial 16S ribosomal RNA
Rfam family: Bacterial small subunit ribosomal RNA
Source: RNAcentral